CAUUUAGGCCUUUAAUCCAUUUUUAUUUAAUUUUUGUAUACAAUGUAAGGUAAGGGUCUAACUUUAUUCUUUUGCAUAUGGAUAUCCAGUUUUCCCAUUACCAUUUUUUGAAGAAACUGUCCUUUCCUCAUUGUGUAAUCUUAGCACUCUUGUCAAAAUCAUUUGGUUAUAUAUGCAGGGGUUUAUUUCUGGGUUCUGUGUUAUAUUGGUUAUAUGUCUAUAUGCCAGUACCACGUCAUGUUAAUUACUGCUGCUUUGAAGUAUGUUUUGAAAUUAGGGAGUGUGAGGCAUCUGAGAUUGCAUACAAAUUUUAGGAUUUUUUUUUCCUAUUUCUGAAAAAAAGUCAUUGGGAUUUUGAUAGUGAUUGCAUUGAAUCUGUAAAUCACUUUGUGUAGCAUGGAAAUUUUAACAUUAUUAAGUCUUCAAACUCCUGAGUACAGGAUGAGUUCCCAUUUAUUUGUAUCUUCUUAGAUUUCUUCUUUUAUUAAUAACGUUUUGUAGUUUUCAGUGUAAAAAUGUUUCAGUUAUUUGAUUAAGUUCUUUCCUCAGUAUUUUACCCUUUUUGAUGCUAUAGUAAAUGAAAUUUUCUUUUCACGUUGGUGAUUGCUAGUAUAUAGAGAUGCAACUGAUUUUUUAGUGCUAAUUUUGUAUCUUGCAACUUUGCUGAGUUAUUAGUUGUAGCUUUUUGUGUACGUGGGAUCUUUCUACAUAUAAGACCAAGUCAUCUGCAAACAGAGAAAAUUUUAAUUCUUCUUUUCCAAUUUGGAUGUCUUUUUAAAAACUUUCUGAUUGACCUGGCUAGAAUAUCCAGUACUAUGUUAAAUAGUAGUGGUAAGUUGGGCAUCCUUGCCUUGUUCCUGAUCUUAGAGUAAAAGCUUUCAGUAUUUCUCCAUUGAAUAUGAUAUUAACUGUGGGCUUUUCAUAUAUGGCUUUCAUUAUAUUUAGGUACUUUACUUUCAUUUCUAGUUAAGUGGUUUUUUUUUAAAAUCAUGAAAGGCCCUUUAUUUUGUUAUGUGGUGUAUUACAUUGAUUGAUUUUUAUAUGUUGAAUUAUACCAGGUAUAAAUCUUGCCUGAUCAUGACCUGUAAUUCUUUUAGUGUGCUGUUAAAUUUAGUUUGCUAGUGUUUUGUUUAGGAUUUUUGCAUCAAUAUUUAUCAGAGAUAUUGGUCUACAGUUUAUUUUCUUGUGUGUCUUUGCUUUUGGUAUCAGGUUAAUGAUGACUUGUAGAAUGAGUUUGAGAGUGUUCCUUCCUCUUCAAUUCUUUGGAAGAAUUUAAGAAGAAUUUGUAUGUUAAUUCUUCUUUAAAUAUUUGGUAGAAUUCUGCAGUGAAUCCAUCAGGUCCUAGAGUUUUCUUUCUUGGGAGGCUUUUGAUGACUACGUCCAACGCCUCACUAGUUAUACACCUUUUCAGUUGUUUUCUUAAAAUUUCUUCAUGAUUAAGUCUUGAUAGGUUGCAUAUUCCUAGUUUAUCCAUUUCUUCUAGGUUAUCCAAUCUGUUGGUGUAUUCUUCUUCAUAGUAAUCUCUUAUAAUUUUUUUAUUUCUGUGACAUCAAUCAUAAUGUCUCCUCUUUCAUUUCUAAUUUUAAAUAUUUGAGUCUUCUCUUUUUCUUAAUCUAGCUAAGAAAUUAAUUUUAAUUAUUUUUACUAAUUAAUUUGUCAAUUGUGUUAAUCUUUUCAAAACAGACUCUUAAUUUUCUUUUUAAAAGUUAUUUUCUUCUCUCUAUUUUCUACUCUAAUCUUUACUAUUUUAUUCCUUCCGCUGACUUUUGGUUUGCUUGUUCUUCUUUUCCUAUUUCCUUAAAGUGUAAGCUUAGGUUGUUGAUUUGAGAUAUUUCUUGUUUUUAAAGGUAAGUGUUUACCAAUAUAAACGUCCCUAUUUGGAUUGCUUUCACUUCAUCUCAUAAGUUUUGAAAUGUUGUAUCUCUGUUUUUAUUUGUCUCCUGAUGUUUUCUAAAUUCCUUUAUGAUUUAUUCUUUGGCCUAUUGGUUGUUUAAGCAUGCAUUGUUUAAUCUCCACAUAUUUGUGGAAUUUCUUGUUUUCCUUCUACUAUUAAUUUGUAGUUUUAUUCCAGUAUGGUUAGAGAAGAUACUUUGUAUAAUUUCAGUCUUCCUAAAUUUAUUAAGAGUUGUAAUGUAGCCUAACAUGGUCUAUCUUGGAGAAUGUUUCAUGCGCACUUGAGAAGAAUGUGCAUUUUACUGUCGUUAGGUGAAGUGUUCUGUAUAUAUCUGUUAGAUCCAAUUGGUCUUUAGUGUUGUUCAAGUCCUCCGUUUCCUCAUUGAUCUUCUGUCUGGUUCUAUCCAUAAUUGAAAGUGGGAUAUUAAAAUAUACUACUAUUAUUGUGUUGCUGUUUAUUCCCGAUUCAGUUCUGUCAAUGUUUUUUUAAUAUAUUUGGGCACUCUAAUGUUAGGUGCAUAUAUAUUUAUGUAGCCCUCUGUAUCCGCAGGUUCUGCAUCCACAGAUUCAACUAAUCUUGGAUCAAAAAUAUUUGAAAAGAAUGAACCGUUGCAUUUGUACUGAAUAUGUACCAACUUUUUUGGGUGAUUAUUCCCUAAACAAUACAAUAUAAUGACUAUUUGCAUGGUAUUGACAUAAUAUUAGGAAUUAUAAAUAGCCCAGAGAUGAUUUAAAGUAUAUGAGAGGAUGUGCAUAGGUUAUAUGCAAAUAUUGUGCCAUUUUAUGUAAGGGACUUGAGUAUCCAUGGAUUUUGGUAUCCACAGAGUGUCCUGGAAUUAAUCCCCUGUGAAUACUGAGGAACAACUGUCAUUGUUGUAUCUUCCUAGUGAGUUGAACUUUUAAUCAUUAUAUGAUAUCCUUCUUUGUCUCUUGUGACAGUUUUUGUCUUAAGUCUAUUUUGUCUGAUAUAAAUGUCAAUCUAAGUAGAAGAGACAGAGUCUCUCUAAAAUAAAAUUACAUUUAUUCAGGAAUGAGCAUUUCAAUGGGAAUACAGUGGGUAUAUUCAGGGAGGUAAAUGAAGACAAGAGUUUUAUAAGGAAAAAUGAAAAGGGCCACAUAAGUUGUUUUGAAACAAUUUUUCUUGACCACAGGGUUCAAUAACAACGGUGGUAUCAGUCCAAGGUUGGACAGCCAGUUGCUGGGUAGAUGGAAGUAGUUUUGUUUGUGUAAGGUCAUGACAUUUGAGCAACAAUGGAGGUUUGGAGGGAGUGGCUCUUAGGCUAGGUCUACCUGGAGUCCGUUGUUAAGUUCAAUUUUGUUUGUUCUGUAGGUGUGGGCUAUUAUUUCAAAGCUGUAGGCCAGCAUUGUUGUGUUAGGAGUUGUACUUCCACAGAAAUUUGACAGGCAACAGGUACAAAGUUUAAAAAGAAAGAUACGAAGUAAAAUUUAUACUAAUAUGAUCAUCCCAGUUUGCAUAAUGGUUUUGAGCCAUGAACCUGGGCUUAAAGGCAAGCAACUGAAUCAAUCAAAUGAUCAUUGGGAAUUAGGUGAGACCUAAUGUAACUGUGUGCCUGUUUUCUUAUUUUGUGUAUUUGGGUCUCAACUUCCCCAGAGGAAUUUAUCCAGGUACACAUGUAGUCCUAGCAAUAGCAUAGACACUACCUUAUUUAACCAGUAGAUAAUAUAGAAAAAUUUUGUCAUCUGGUAUCUCAUGACUGGGUUGAAUUAAAAGCAUAGAGUGAGUGACAGUUGUAUUAGGAAUAUUUUUAAAGUUGGACUAAAGGAUUCUUUGGUCAUGUAAAGAUCUACGGUUGGCAUAACAGAUCUAACAUUUUGUCAAGUUGUCCACAUAAGCUACUAAUUGUAAAAUUUUAACUACACCAUUAUCCUGCCCAGUGAAAAAGUUAAGCGUAGGCAAGGACAAACUAAGAGGGGCAACAGUCUCAUUAUGAUAAAGUUUGUUCUGGCAGCUUGAGAAAGCUGUCCACAGCAUAAAGACAUCAACUUCUCAUCCUGGUUUGUAGUUUGAAUGUCUCUCGUUAUAGCAUUGGGUGGUUUGGUGAACUUUCUGCAUGACCCAUAAAUCAGGCAUGAGGCUCUUAAAAUUUACAUCAAGUUUUCUAGCUUCAGCUUACAGGGCUUUAGGAAAGAGUAGUUCCCAUUCUUAGUAAUAACAUGGGAGAAAAUUAGAUUAGGGAACCUAGAAUAACUUAGGAUCCAGUCUGGUCUACAGUAGAUAAUAAAAACUCAAAGACAAUGCACAGAACUACAAUCUAAUAACAGAUGUAUUAUAGUCCUUUUCUAGAAACAUAAUUUUGUCUCUAUAUAGUUAUCCUAAUUUCUACCAAAGAUAAUUACAGUAAGACUGAUUUGUUUGUAAAUAAGUUUAGUUUUAUUAUUAUUUUAGGUUCUUGUAUUAUUUUAUUAGUUUUAUUAUUUUAGUUUUUUAAAGUUUAUUUAUUACUUAACCUAAUAAUUUACAUAAGAGCAGCAAGAGUAGUAAAUUGAGCACAAAAGAAUCUCAGAUUUUAUUUAUUUAUUUUUUUUUUGAGACGGAGUCUCGCUGUGUCGCCCAGGCUGGAGUACAGUGGCGCGAUCUCGGCUCGCUGCAAGCUCCGCCUCCUGGGUUCCUGCCAUUCUCCUACGUCAGCCUCCCGAGUAGCUGGGACUACAGGCACCCGCCACCACGCCUGGCUAAUUUUCUUUGUAUUUUUGGUAGAGACGGGGUUUCACCAUGUUGGCCAGGAUGGUCUUGAUCUCCUGACCUCGUGAUCUGCCUGCCUCGGUCUCCCAAAGUGCUGGGAUUACAGGUGUGAGCCACCGUGCCUGGCCAAGAAUCUCAGAUUUUAAACCUCCUUGAGUCUAGAAAGCCAAGCAAAGGCAGACUUCAGACUUUGUUUGCAGUACCAAUAAAAAUUUAAAUAUGGCAUUCCAGUUUUAAUUGGUAAUACAACCAAUGUUUUUAACUGUAUCAUGUUACAAGGAGGUACAGAUUCAUACUGAAUGUAUGCAAAUAAUUAUAUUGUCAUUUAAGAAACACUAGCAAAUCAUUUCCAAAUUUUGAAGGGACCAAAUAGAAAAAAAUAAAUAUUUCCACCUUUGUUCACAAAAGUAUAUUUUACCAAAUUGUUGUAAACUAUAGAUAGCUUAAGAGAAAAUGUUUCCUUAAACUUGGAAGACAAAACAUUUCAAUAAAAAACCAACAAUGUUUAAAUUAAAAGUUAUAAAAACAUUAUCAGUUAUUCAAUUUCAUGUAAUUAGUUUUUGUUAUGCUUGAUCUUGAUUAGCAGUUUCACAAAUUCAUCAAUUUCUUCAUUGCAGUUGUGAAAAGUUUUAUUUAGUUCUUUAAUCUUGAAGUUAUUAGAAACUUGUAUUUAAGAGUACUUAUUAGAGUCUUUUCCAUGAAUCUGAUUGCAGAUACCUUUAGAGAAAAAUCAAAACUGUGGAUGUCAAAGACUUAGAAUAACCAUCAUUAAAAAUCUGAUGGGAGUUCAGCAAUUGAGAAGGAAAUUCAAUUAUUUCUAUUGUAUUUAGCAUUUUAAGGUAACAACCAGAAUCGUGGUUGACAGCAUUACAUCAGGACCAUCAGACCUUCUUAAAUUUCACAUAAUAUUUAAUAUACAUCAAUAACAUAUCCAUGUAACUUAAAGAAAAUAUAGCAUCACUUUAUUAUUUGACAUUGAUUCCCAUACAAUUAAUAAAAUAAGCCAAAUUAGUUUAACAUCUCUACAAGAUGAUACCUCCUUUAAGGUUCUCCAGGGGCUCAACUGGAAAAUCUCUCAGUUAGUUAUAGGUCAAAAAGACUUAAUUUAGAACUUUGAUCCUGGAGAGACCUGCCAAAAAUGUCAAAAUGGUUGAAACAUUUAAUUAAAACAGAAUCACAGAUUAUUGUGGAAUAAUAGUCAUUCACUUAAUCAGAGUGAAAAGAGAUUCCAAAAGCAAAUACAGAACAUUACAUGGAUUAAAAAAAAAACCUUAAUUCUUUCAAAGCUCCUAAGUAAUAAAAAACCUAAUAAAGACAACAUGAAGCAUGAGAAAUUAUUUUGAUAAAACAAAAAAUCUUUGUUUCCUAGGCCAGCUAUCAAAAGAUAAAAACCUUCUACAUAUCUAAAAACCCCUUGUGAUUUCUUCUCCCUGUGGGAAACCCAUUUCAAUAACCUGGAAGUUGAGCCUGAUGAAAAGGUACUUGAAUUCAACUAAACACUGGAAGAGUGUGUAUCCAAGGUUAUGAGUGUACCAUAUUAUAGAAAAGAUAAACAAGAAAACAAGUACCUUGAGCAGGGGGAUAUGUGGCUCUUAGAAAAAGUAAAAGAAUGUGGAAUUUAUUGGUUAAACAGAGCAAUUCAGACACAUCAAGAAAAGACAAAAUUACAGAAUCAAGUUAUACUGGAAGAAAAUAUUAUUCCCCUAGAUUCUUCUAGGCCUUAAAGACAAACAUUUUUAGUGUUAGGCCACAAUAGCAGAGUCAGAACUGGAGAGAGAGCCAGAGAGAGAGCGAGUGAGAGAGCGAGUGAGAGAGCGAGAGAAGCAAGAGGAGUGAGAGGAGAGAGAGGAAGAGAGAGAGAGAGAGAAAGAGAGAGAGUUACAGGAGCUGACUCCAAAGUUGAGGGAGAGGGUUAUCAUCCCUAAGGAGACAAGGAAGAGCUGAAGGCAAUGAUGCAUGAUUUUAGUCGUUCACUUAAUCAGAGUGAAAAAAGCUUCCAAAAACAAAUGCAGAACUUUAUGUAGAUGUAAAAAAAACAAACCUUAAUUCUUUCAAAGCACCUAAGUAAUCAAAAACCUAAUAAAGACAACAUGAAGCAUGUUUCUCAUCAAAUCAUGUGCAAUGAGAUACAGCAAAGUCAAACUGAGAUAUGAAUUUGAAAAGCUUCAAAAGGAAAGUUCUUUUGAGAAACUAAAUUACUAUUUUUAAAUGAAGUAGAUAGUAUUUUAAAGCUGGAAUAAGGGAAAUUAAGUGGAAAGUGUAAAACAGGAAAAAGCUGCAGUUCAGAAGACGGUUGAAAAUUUAAACGGAUUUCAGAAUAUCAAAACCUCUUGCAGAUUUUUUUUAACUAAAAUCACAUAAAUACUUCAAGAAAACCUUGUUGCUUUAAAUAUAGGUGAAUGGAUUCUGGUUUUGUAUCACUGUAUUAAUACUCAAUUUUUGAUAAAACCUGUGAAUAAUUCCCUUUUAACUAUAGGCAACUUGAUUAAACACAAAUUUUUUUCCAUAAGAUUCAUCUUAUAUAAAAAGAAAAUUGUCUGACAAAUAUAUCCAGGCAAAAUGUAUGCUUGCAAUUCUGAAGACCUCACUAUUUUACCAACAAUUUUAAAAUCAGUUUAUUUACCAAAGAUUUACCUAAGUCACACAAAUUUUUAAAAGUUGGGUUUAUUACUAUUUUUAGUAAAUAGUUAUUUACUAUUUUUUCUGAUAAAUUGCUUAAUUUUUUUUCUUUACAUCAAUUUCAUAGUUGUUUUAUAUAUUUCUGUAGAAAAAUAUUAUGUAUGUAUAACACAGACCCAGAAACAUACAGAAACACAAAAAGAUCUUAUAGCUUAUCACUGUAAAAUUGUAGUCAAGAAACUGUAAAAUAUACUAAUAUAAAAUCACUAGUGUAUAAAAAAAGACAGUUGGAUCCAAAUUAUAUUUCUGAAAAAAUGGGACAAGUUAAGAUCAGUUUUUCAUAUUGCUAAUCUUUUUUUUUUUCUUUUGCCUUUGAUAGGUAAUCUUAUGAGAGAAGUGGACCAAAUUUAGGGUAAAGCUGUUUUUAUAGCGUUUUAGUUUUUGAAAAAUCUUUUACCCUUUUUUCCUCUUCAAUUUUAAGUGAGUUGUUUUAAUUAACUUCUGGAUAUUUACAUUUCAGUUAGGAUUGGCUAGAAAAAUAAACUUCCAAGAAUCCUUGAACUUAUUAACAAAUUUAAUACAAGCAAACAAGUCAGCAGAUUCAGAGCAAGCAGAGAAAAAAAGAGAGCUAGCUUAGAAGCCCCUACAUGUUAAUCCUACAGUUCCAGUCUCUUAAUUCAGCUCUAAGGAAACAAGCUUAGAGAGUUUAAAUAAUUCCCAUAAUGGCCGUACAUUAUCCUUAGUGUAAUUUGCCAAUUAUUUUUUAAAUGUGCAUGAGAAAGGACCAUAAAUUUCAAAUGUAUAGCUGCCUCAAGUGCCAGAGGGCUUGGCAUUCUUUAGAAGUUGAAGAUCCCAUUGCAUUUCUUAUCAAUCUCUCAAGAGCAAAGAAAAGCCCAUAAAUUUUGUCAAAAGCGUUGACCAAGCUGUUUUGUUUUAACUAGUGUACCUGACACAGAAUUCAUCUUUUUAUACUUGGCAGAUGGCCUUUGUCCUAGUUGUCUAACCUAUGACCAAGUUUACCCUGGUUGUGUAGAAAUUUUCUUGAGACUGGCAGGUGCCUCAGUGGUAAUAUUCUUUGUCUGUGACUAUUUUAUCCUUACAUGGGAGACGUUUUCUUUGGAGACUGGAGUCCCUCAUAGAUGGCAGUGACGUUCCUAGUGGCAUUUAUUAUUAUUUUGUUGUUAUUGUUGUUGUUUAGAUACAAGGUCUCACUCUGUUGCCCAGGCUGGAGUGCAGUGGUGCAAUCACAGCUCACUACAGCGUUGAACUCCUGGGCAAAGUGAUCCUGUUAUCGCAGCCUCCUGAGUAGCUGGGGAGACAACGUGUGCAUCACCACACCUGGCUAAUUUCUAAAGAAAUAUUUUUAGAGACAGGGUCUUGUUAAGUUGCCCAGGCUGGUAUGGAAGUCCUGGUUUCAUGUAUUUCUCUCAUCUCAGCCUCCCAGCUGGCUGGGAUUACAGGCAGAAGCCACCAUGCCUGGUCCUAGUGGCUUUAAUUGUCCACUAAAAUCAGUUUAUUUACCAAAGAUUUACCUAAGUCAUGUGAACCUUAAAAAAUGUGAGUUAACUACUAUUUUUCUGAUAAAUUACUUAAGUGCUUAAUUUUUUUCUUUAAGUCAAUUAAAUAGAGCUCUUUCAUAUAUUUUGGUAGAAAAUAUUACAUAUAUAGACACAAGAACAUACAGACAACACAAAAAGAUAUUUUCCCUUUUCCCUUUAAAAUUUUAGUCAUGAUACAUUAAAACAGUAAUAUACUGUGCCAUUUAGAAUGUUUAUUUUUGCUCUUCGAAGGUGUUCAUAAACAAGCAGGGAAAACAAAAGAGCCAAAUUAUUUACAGUUGCAUGUAACCAAAUUGACAUGAAACCAAAUGAAGCGUGCUCACAAAAAUUUUAAGCCAGGCUUGCAGAGCAAACAAAGUAUAAAACCGUGUUUGCAGAAAAACCAAAGCAAAUUCACUAGAAAAUACAUGCCUCACAGAACAUAAUUUCUGUGGGAACCAGAGUACUCUCCAAAAGAACACUUGGCCUUAUACCAGAAGAGGCUUUCCAGAAAAGACAAAAAGUCUUUUGUAGUCCCACAAGGGUUGCAAGGUCCUUAAUUUAAGGUGGUCUUAUAGCCAAAUCCAGAUCCUGAAUAAAGUCAAAAGAACUUACCAAAUGAAGGACAUCUGAGAAUCUAAGCGAAGAUUCACCACAGCAGAGAAGGAAGGCCAUAGAAGCAGAGGCCACAAAAGGGGUCAGUGUUGGUAUCUCACUAGAUUCCAGGGGAUGCUGGCCUGUUUGAGGUCAGCUGACUUCAGUCUCACUUCUUGACACAAACUUUAUGUCAACCUAAAUGCAGACACAGAGAGAAGAUGUCUAAAAGAAAAUUAUAUUUAUUCAGGAAUGAGCAUUGCAAUGGGAAUAUAGUGGGUGUAUUCAGGGAGGUAAAGAAAGACAAGGGCUUUUAAAGGAGAAGUGAGGAGGGUUACAUGAGUUUUUUGAAACAAUUAUCUUUGGCUACAAGGAUCACUAACAAAGGUGGUAGUAGUUCAAGGUUGGACAGCCAGUUGCUGGGCAGCUGUCUUAACCAAAGUAUUUUUGUAUGUGUAAGGUUGUGGUGGCCUUUGUGCAAGGUUGUUGUGAUUUUUGCAGUCUUUUGUGAUCGUUCCUCUUAUCAGGUAUAUGUGCAUGAGAACCUUCUUUUCAUCACCUUCCCUGGCUCCAUUUGUCCUGCUACGGUGACACCAGUCUUUUAGUCCAUACAUUUGACUUCAUGAGGAGUUUGCUAUAAUCAGUUGAAUGAAGAAGAAACAUGUGGACCUGCUUUAUAGAAGGAAUGAUGCCAGGGGGAUGAAUAGUUUUGCUGGAUGGUCAUGGACUUCAAAGAAGCAUGAUUGAUAAUUGGUUGACAAGGCAAAUUGACAAUGAGGUAUGUGAGUGGACUACUUUUAAUGAGCAGAAUAUAAAAUUACUUGUGGCCUAUUUAAUUGUCAAUAAUCAGCAACCUCACCAGAAGAUGAGCUUAAUAAUCAGGUGAUCAAGAUGGUACAUUCUGUGAAUAUUCUUCAAGAUUUUUCUCUAGCCAACCAUGUCCAUUCCCAGUGGGUGCAUGAACAGUGUAGUCAUGUUGGAAGAAAUGGAGCUUAUUAGUUCAGUACUAUGAAAUUCCAUUUACUAAAUCCGAUCUGGCUACAACCACAUUUAUAUGGCCAAGCUAUCAAAAGUAUGGACUAACACUGGACCUCAGAUAGGCACUCUUCUUCAAAGGGGACUACCAACCUCCUGCUGGAAUUUGAUUACACCGGACCACUUUGAUCAUGGAGGAGACAGCACUUUGUUUUCAAUGGAAAAGACAAUUACUCUAGAUAUGAAUUUGCCUUUCCUAUUCCAAUGUUUCUGAUAAAAGCAUCACAUGUGGACUUUACAAAAUGUUUUAUUUUCUGCCAUGGAAUUCCACCCAGCAUUUCUUGUGACCAGGGCAGUCAUUUUUCAAAUAAUGAAUUGGGUCCAUUGGGCUCAUGUUCAUAGAAUUCACUAAACUUACCAUGAUUCCUGUUAACAGUUCCAUUUCAGUAGUGGGACAUGCCUCAAUUCUCAGAAGUCCUACCAUCUCUGAUUUGUCUUCCCAUGUUUGUUUACCUAAUUCCUACUUUAAAAUGUCCUUGUCGCUAAAAUCCUAGUGAUUCUGCUUUUCUGAUUGAACCCUGACUGAUAUUGAACCAUUUCUGCUCCUUUUCAGACACUACCCCUCUCUCUCGACUAUAAUCACUUUCCUAACUUCUAUCACCAUUGACUACUUUUCCUUUUGUAUAUCUUUACAUAUAUGAAAUCAUAUUGUAUAUAUUCUUUUGUGUCUCUGUUUUGCUCAACAUUAUGUUUGUGAGAUUGAACUAUGCUGCUGUUUUAUAGCAAUUGUUUACUUAUUUUGUUACUGUAGAGCAAGUGUAGGCACACUACAUCCCAUGGGUGAAAUCUUGUAUAUAUUUCGGGGUGCGCAUGUGUGUGUGUUUCUGCUCGCUAGAAGUGGAAUUUCUGUGUCAUGGAGAAUACAUAAAUUUAACUCUAGCAGAUACUGUGAAACAUUUUCCAAAGUGAUUGUACCAAUUUACACUCUUACAAGGACCGUGGUAGAGUUCCAUCUGCUCCAUGUGCUUGCCAAUGCUUGGUGUUGUCAGACUUAAAUUAUUUUAAAUUAUUUUUUAAAUUCACCAUUCUAAUUUUUUAAAAGAAGUAGAGUAUAAUGCUGGUUACCAGGGGUUGGAGUGGAGGGGUUGGGACAUAUUGGUCGAAAGAUAUGACAUGUCAGUUAUACACGAGUAAUUUUUUAAAAAUCAGUCAUUCUGGUAUGGUGAUAGAGUUGUCUCAUUGAGGGUUUAAUUUAUACUGCUGUAAUGACUAAUGAAGUUGAGCAAACAGAGCAUGUAUCUGAAGCCUUGUACAUUUGUAUAUUCUUCUUCAUAUAGUGCUUACUCAAGUGAUUUGUUGAUUUGUCUAUUUGGUUGUCAGUCUUAUUCUUGUAUUUAUAGGAUUUCUUUAUAUUCUGCUUACAAGCCUUUUGACAUAUGUGUGUAUUGUGAUUAUCUUUUCAACUGUGGCCAGCAUUUUCACUUUCCUUGUGGUACAUUCGAUAAACAACCAUUCUCAUUUUAAGUUUUUUAAUUUUACUUUUCAGUUGGUACUUUAAAAAAUCGUUGCCAACAUUAGAGAAGGUCACAAAGAUAUUUUAGUAGCUAUUUAAAAAAAUCUUUUAAUUUUAAGAUCUAUAUUCCAUAUCAUAUUGAUAUUUACAUAUGGGAUGUGCUAAAGGUCAAGAUUAAUUAUUUUUCUAUAUGAAGAAUAUACAGUAUCCUCACUUCUUAAGAUAUUUCUCCAUUUUAGUUAUCUUUGUGAAAUAUCAAAUGACUAGAUAUAUGUAAAUCUGUUUCUGAACUUUCUAUUAUCUUCCAUUAGUCUAUUCAUAUUUGCAUAUAUAGCACACUUUUAAUUACUGCAAAUACAUAAAAUGUCUUGAUGUCUUAUCGCAUAAACCCACCUCUUUCUAUUUUCUUUUGAUGUUUUGGUUAUUCUUGACUGUUGCUUUUCUUUACAGAUUUUAGACUCAGCUUGCUAGUUUUCACCAAAAAACUGCUGAGAAUUUUAUUAAAUAUAUAGAUUAUUCAAAGGAGCACUGAUAGCUUUACAACAUUGAAUUGUCCAGUAUCUGAAUAGCACCACAUAUUUUAAAUUUUCAUUGAAGUAUAAAUAUAUGUAGAAAAAUGUAUAUGUCAUAUGUGUCAUGAUUGUUUAAUUUUCAACACACUCAAAAUACCAGCAUCUGUAUCAAGAAACUGCACAUAACCAGCAUGUGGUAGCCAUGAAAAUGUAUUUCACAAAUAUUUUAAUGAAGUAACCAAAGACCCCUAUUGUUGUGUUUUAAGGUCAAUCCUGUGUUUGCAUCAAGGCCAGAUUUUCUGAAGGCUGCUGCUCCCAGUCAAUAUCUGAGAGCAGUAAGGAUUCUAAGGUAGACCUGUUCAGGGAGACAUAGAUCUUCUCUGUUGGAUAGAUAAGAUUGUGAAUACCUGACUUUAAUGGCUUUUUCUUUAAUAUAACUUUUCUUUCUUUCUUUUUUUUGAGAUUUAGUCUCACUCUGUCAUACAGGCUGGAGUGCAGUGGCGCGAUCUCGGCUCACUGCAACCUCCACCUCCAGGGUUCAAAGGAUUCUCCUGCCUCAGUCUCCCAAAUAGCUGGGAUUACAGACAUGCCACCACACCUAGCUAAUCUUUGUAUUUUUAGUAGAGAUGGGGUUUCACCAUGUUGGCCAGGUGGGUCUUGAACUCCUGACCUCAGGUGAUCCUCCCGCCUUGGCUUCCCAAAGUGCUGGGGUUACAGGUGUAAGCCACUGCACCUGGCCUAAUGUAACUUUUCUUAAGCUGUAUGGAAGUCCAGAAUGAUUUUAUCAAAUCUUCCUUUGUUGUUGUUGUUGUUGUUGUUGUUGUUGAGACAGGGUCUCACUCUGUCACCCAGGCUGAAGUGCAGUGGCACAAUCUUGGCUCACUGCAACCUCUGCCUCCCCGGCUCAAGUGAUCCUCCAGCCUCUGCCUCCCAAGUAGCAGGGACUACAGGCACGUGCCACCACACCCAGUUAGUUUUUGUAUUUUUUUGUAGAGACAGAGUCUCACUUUGUUCCCUGGGCUGCCUUUUGUUCUUUACUCAGUGUUAGAUUUACAUCAUGGUGCAGCUUCUCUCCUGUUUUCUCUCACAAUCAUUUCCCCUAAUAAAAUUCUUACACAACU
Long non-coding RNA from Gorilla gorilla gorilla (western lowland gorilla), 13469 nucleotides. RefSeq lists it as uncharacterized. NCBI's taxonomy places the organism in Eukaryota, Metazoa, Chordata, Mammalia, Primates, Hominidae. The transcript is spliced from 2 exons. The record is from RefSeq and is a predicted model, not a curated record.